AUCUGUAAGGCAAGGGGGUUGUACUAGACCAGCAGUUCUCAAACUGGGAUGUGCGUCAGAGUCACCCAGAGAGCCUGUUGAACAUGAGUCACUGGGCCUACCCCCAGAUUACUGACUCCGCAGAACCUAAGAAUCUGCAUUUUGAAGAUGUCGUCAGGUGAUGCUGAUGCUUCUGGUCUCGGGGACUACACCAGGAACCAGUGGGCUGGCUGGCCGGAUUUUAAGCCGUAUUUGUCAGAGUUAGAAAGGGCUGCAGGAUGCUUGCUUACUCACGGGUCUCAGGCUCACGGAGGGCUCAUUCCCCAUUGUGAUGGAUGGGCAGGCACAGUCAGCCUGGAGGGUCCCGUGGCCCUUCACACAACAAUAGGAUGAGGAGAGAUGAUGCACUUGGGACCCGGGCUCAGGUUGGAGCUCUGUCAUGUACCUCUGGGAGCCCCUCCUAGGGCCCGGCACAUAGUAGGUGCUCAAUAAAUACAAUGAUCCUCCACUGCACUGCUGACCUACAGGGGACUCGGCCUUAUACCACGUGAAACUUGGAUAUCUCCUUGUGACAGUGACUGAGGUACAACUGUGGAGUCAGGCUGCCCCUAUUUGAAUCCUGAAUACGUGACUGUCAAAGUAAACUUGGGCAAGUUACUUAGCUUC
Molecule: non-coding RNA, 645 nt
Organism: Macaca mulatta (Rhesus monkey)
Lineage: Eukaryota; Metazoa; Chordata; Mammalia; Primates; Cercopithecidae
Source: RefSeq, a predicted model, not a curated record